This is a small nuclear RNA of Monodelphis domestica (gray short-tailed opossum), 101 nucleotides long. NCBI's taxonomy places the organism in Eukaryota, Metazoa, Chordata, Mammalia, Didelphimorphia, Didelphidae. The record is from Ensembl.
UUGCUUCAGCAGCAUAUAUGCCAAAGCUGGAAUGAUAGAGAAGAUGAGCAUAGUCCAUGUUCAAGAAUGAUAUGUAAAUUCAUGAUUAAUUUCAUAUUUUU